RNAcentral lists this ribosomal RNA (253 nucleotides) under uncultured bacterium. RNAcentral's name for it is "partial 16S ribosomal RNA". It matches the Rfam family "Bacterial small subunit ribosomal RNA", at positions 524 to 776 of the family's 1533-position model. The record is from RNAcentral.
UACGUAGGGUGCAAGCGUUGUCCGGAAUUAUUGGGCGUAAAGAGCUCGUAGGCGGUCUGUCGCGUCUGCUGUGAAAACUCGGGGCUUAACCCCGGGCCUGCAGUGGGUACGGGCAGACUAGAGUGCGGUAGGGGAGACUGGAAUUCCUGGUGUAGCGGUGAAAUGCGCAGAUAUCAGGAGGAACACCGGUGGCGAAGGCGGGUCGCUGGGCCGUAACUGACGCUGAGGAGCGAAAGCGUGGGGAGCGAACAGG